Molecule: long non-coding RNA, 1631 nt
Organism: Cannabis sativa
Lineage: Eukaryota; Viridiplantae; Streptophyta; Magnoliopsida; Rosales; Cannabaceae
Exons: 3
Source: RefSeq, a predicted model, not a curated record
UGCGACACUUCACUCUUCCCUUCCAUUCUCACUCCCCAAUUUAUUUUUUUCUAUAAUUUCCUUUUUCCAAAUCUCAAACACAUUUUAUAGCAUACGACAAAACAACAUACAAAGAGCCACCGCUCUUCAUAUCUUUACCCUUUUUCUCCUCCUCUUCACUCUACAGUCUCAACUUCCAAUUAUAUAUGGUAUUGGAAUGGAAACUGUUGUUUGUUCCUCCGAAGCUUAAUCGAUUUCGUUUGCAAUCACAUGGAGAUGUAUUAAAGCGUUCCCAAACUCCAAUCUGAAUGCAAAAUCUCAAAUCUGAAAAUUAUAGUGUAUAUAGUUUCGGUACCCACAAAGUCUACAUCAUUUUUAUUUUCAGUGUGUAAUCUUCAAUCGAAUUGAUUUUCAAUCGAUAACGAUGAGUCGACGAUAGGUGAACGAUUUCGGAUGAACGAGACCAGCAUAUUCACCCAAAUUAAAGCUUCAAUCGACUUGAUUUUCAAUUGUUAACGAUGGGUCGACUUAAUUUUCUGCUCUAAUUGAGGCAAGUGUUGCCCAAAGGUGCUUGAUUAGAUGUUGGGCAAGGGCCACACUGUCUUUUUAAGGAGAGCAGAGCUCAAGACCUUUGUGAAUUUCCGUGGGAAUGAGGUUGGGAAAGGUGGAGAUUUAACGCAUGACGAGACUACAAUUAUCACUGGGGCACUUGAAUUGACUGAAAAACUGUAAAAGAUGCCAUGACUCCAAUAUCAAAUGCUUUUUCCCUUGAUUUGGAUGCAAAUCUUAAUUUGUAAUAACUGAUAUAUAUUAUCUUGGUUGUUUAAGUAGACUAGGGAUUCAACAGAGACAAAAAGAAGAAGAGAAAAAAAAAAAAAAAGUAGACUAGGGGGCAUGUCUAUAUACAUUUCAUUCCUUCUGACUUAUCUCUGCAUUAUAGGGAGACAUUGAAUUCAAUAAUGACCAUGGGUUACAGUAGAGUUCCAAUUUAUGCUGGCAAUCCCAGAAAUAUGAUUAGACUUAUUUUGGUAAUUUCAUUUCUUUUGUAUUUAAAGACCAUUUUUUCUUGAAUUUGAUUUUUAAGGUCAUCAGAUUUUUAUGUUUCCUUCUACUUUGAUUAUGUCUGUCUACUUUAUUUAUCUUUACUCUCAGUUUCGAUUUCAUAAUCUUUCUUGUAUCAUUGAAGGGAAGAACAUGUAUAUGUCUACUUAUGAUUUCAGACUAUCUUUCCAAAAGUACAAAGGUAUAUAUAACUAUGUUUUUCUUAUUACUCUUUUUUAAUACAAAAUAUUGUUCACUUAAAUUAGUGAAAUUAUUAAUGUAGAAUAGAAUUUAAGCUCUUAGUAGAUUGAAGCAUAAAAUUGAGCUCAUGUAAACAAUGGUUACAUGAGAAUGGUAGUGGUCCCUCAUUUUAUUGAAGUCAUUUCUCAUAUUUUCUAGCUAUGGCUUAUAAUUUUAACUCUUGGCUCUUGCAGGGCUAUAGCUCAAGGAGUUGUUUUAAAUUCGUAUGAGGCCUUUAAACAUGGAUCACACGUUUAAGGAAAAGAAUUCAAAAGGAGGUGUCUUAUUUAUUUGUAAUUGUUUAAGGCACACAAUUAAAAAUUCUUAAAUAUCUUAUUUAUUUGUUAUUCUUCAAGCCACAAAAUUAAAAA